Molecule: ribosomal RNA, 612 nt
Filed under: uncultured bacterium
Lineage: Bacteria
Description: bacterial SSU rRNA
Rfam family: Bacterial small subunit ribosomal RNA (bases 1-532)
Source: RNAcentral
CCUACGGGAGGCAGCAGUGAGGAAUAUUGGACAAUGGGCGCAAGCCUGAUCCAGCCAUGCCGCGUGCAGGAUGAAGCAUCUAUGGUGUGUAAACUGCUUUUGUACGAGAAGAAACACUGCUUCGUGAAGCAGCUUGACGGUAUCGUAAGAAUAAGGAUCGGCUAACUCCGUGCCAGCAGCCGCGGUAAUACGGAGGAUCCAAGCGUUAUCCGGAAUCAUUGGGUUUAAAGGGUCCGUAGGCGGCCUUAUAAGUCAGUGGUGAAAUCUCACGGCUCAACCGUGAAAUGGCCAUUGAUACUGUAGGGCUUGAAUUAUUAGGAAGUAACUAGAAUAUGUAGUGUAGCGGUGAAAUGCUUAGAGAUUACAUGGAAUACCAAUUGCGAAGGCAGGUUACUACUAAUGGAUUGACGCUGAUGGACGAAAGCGUGGGUAGCGAACAGGAUUAGAUACCCUGGUAGUCCACGCCGUAAACGAUGGAUACUAGCUGUUGGGGGCAACCUCAGUGGCUAAGCGAAAGUGAUAAGUAUCCACCUGGGGAGUUACGUUCGCAAGAAGAGAGACGAAGAAGUUAGAGGCGNGAGAGNGCGACGGACGACGACGAGGGAGGAGGAG